CUCCAGACUCCUACGGGAGGCAGCAGUGGGGAAUAUUGCACAAUGGGGGGAACCCUGAUGCAGCGACGCCGCGUGGGUGAAGGAGUAUUUCGGUAUGUAAAGCCCUAUCAGCAGGGAAGAACAAUGACGGUACCUGACUAAGAAGCACCGGCUAAAUACGUGCCAGCAGCCGCGGUAAUACGUAUGGUGCAAGCGUUAUCCGGAUUUACUGGGUGUAAAGGGAGCGCAGGCGGCGCGUUAAGCCUGGUGUGAAAGCCCGCGGCCCAACCGCGGGACUGCAUUGGGAACUGGCGCGCUGGAGUGCCGGAGGGGUAGGCGGAAUUCCUAGUGUAGCGGUGAAAUGCGUAGAUAUUAGGAGGAACACCAGUGGCGAAGGCGGCCUGCUGGGCUUUUACUGCCGCUGAGGCUCGAAAGUGUGGGGAGCAAACAGGAUUAGAUACCCUAGUACU
RNAcentral lists this ribosomal RNA (449 nucleotides) under uncultured bacterium. RNAcentral's name for it is "bacterial SSU rRNA". It matches the Rfam family "Bacterial small subunit ribosomal RNA", at positions 329 to 794 of the family's 1533-position model. The record is from RNAcentral.